This 440-nucleotide ribosomal RNA is filed under the name uncultured bacterium. Its description in RNAcentral is "partial 16S ribosomal RNA". It matches the Rfam family "Bacterial small subunit ribosomal RNA", at positions 339 to 795 of the family's 1533-position model. The record is from RNAcentral.
CUACGGGAGGCUCCAGUAGGGAAUAUUGCACCAUGGGCGAAAGCCUGAUGCAGCAACGCCGCGUGAGCGAUGAAGGCCCUCGGGUCGUAAAGCUCUUUUCAAGGGGAAGAGGAAGGACGGUACCCUUGGAAUAAGUCUCGGCUAACUACGUGCCAGCAGCCGCGGUAAAACGUAGGAGGCGAGCGUUAUCCGGAUUUACUGGGCGUAAAGCGCGUGUAGGCGGUACAGCAAGUUGGAUGUGAAAGCUCCUGGCUUAACUGGGAGAGGUCGUUCAAAACUGCUGAACUAGAGUACGGUAGAGGAAAAUGGAAUUCCGGGUGUAGUGGUGAAAUGCGUAGAUAUCCGGAGGAACACCAGAGGCGAAAGCGAUUUUCUGGACCGAAACUGACGCUCAGACGCGAAAGCUAGGGUAGCAAACGGGAUUAGAUACCCUAGUAGUC